CCUACGGGUGGCAGCAGUGGGGGAUAUUGCACAAUGGGGGGAACCCUGAUGCAGCGACGCCGCGUGGGUGAAGAAGCGCCUCGGCGCGUAAAGCCCUGUCAGCAGGGAAGAAAAUGACGGUACCUGAAGAAGAAGCCCCGGCUAACUACGUGCCAGCAGCCGCGGUAAUACGUAGGGGGCAAGCGUUAUCCGGAUUUACUGGGUGUAAAGGGGGCGCAGACGGCGAUGCAAGCCAGGAGUGAAAGCCCGGGGGCCAACCCCGGGACUGCUCUUGGAACUGCUUGGCUGGAGUGCAGGAGGGGCAGGCGGAAUUCCUGGUGUAGCGGUGAAAUGCGUAGAUAUCAGGAGGAACACCGGUGGCGAAGGCGGCCUGCUGGACUGCAACUGACGUUGAGGCCCGAAAGCGUGGGGAGCAAACAGGAUUAGAUACCCCUGUAGUC
Molecule: ribosomal RNA, 440 nt
Filed under: uncultured bacterium
Lineage: Bacteria
Description: partial 16S ribosomal RNA
Rfam family: Bacterial small subunit ribosomal RNA
Source: RNAcentral